RNAcentral lists this ribosomal RNA (212 nucleotides) under Escherichia coli. RNAcentral describes it as "partial 23S ribosomal RNA". It matches the Rfam family "Bacterial large subunit ribosomal RNA", at positions 2736 to 2925 of the family's 2925-position model. The record is from RNAcentral. Lineage: Bacteria; Pseudomonadati; Pseudomonadota; Gammaproteobacteria; Enterobacterales; Enterobacteriaceae.
CACUGCCCGGUAGCUAAAUGCGGAAGAGAUAAGUGCUGAAAGCAUCUAAGCACGAAACUUGCCCCGAGAUGAGUUCUCCCUGACUCCUUGAGAGUCCUGAAGGAACGUUGAAGACGACGACGUUGAUAGGCCGGGUGUGUAAGCGCAGCGAUGCGUUGAGCUAACCGGUACUAAUGAACCGUGAGGCUUAACCUUACAACGCCGAAGCUGUU